This is a long non-coding RNA of Argiope bruennichi, 561 nucleotides long. RefSeq lists it as uncharacterized. The transcript has 4 exons. Lineage: Eukaryota; Metazoa; Arthropoda; Arachnida; Araneae; Araneidae. The record is from RefSeq and is a predicted model, not a curated record.
UAAGAACAUAUUCCGUAUAUAUAAUUAAGUUGUAAUAAAUACUGUAGACUUUUUUAUUAUCUCACCACAGCUAUGCCAAUGGGUGGACCACAAGACCUUGAAAAAAUUAGAAGUACCCUGUACCCUGGAAAAGCCUGCCCGCCUCUGACCUAGAUGAUCACUCGAUCCUCACUGGUGACUCCAGAACAAUGAGGGGUCGAGAAUUACUUUAGCUGCAUGAGGGUAGCGUCAUGAUGAUUUCACAAGUCAUUUUCACAGCUCUAAUCGGCUGCCGAUUGUACCAAAUGAAGCUUCGCUUGAAAUAUAAUGCCUUUCCACUGUUCAGUCUUCAAUUGCAAAGGAAAUUAUGAUACCAGUCCCAAAGUGUCCAUCUUUAAAUUUCCGGAGGAUGAAAAAUUAAAAGAACAAUGGAUUCACAGGCUCCUUAAGGAUUUCAAGCCCAGCAAAAGCUCAAGAGCCUGUGAACUGCAUUUUAGAGAGGAAGAUGUUAUAAAAAAUAUGGAAUAUUUUCAUGAAGAAAGUGGCUGCUUUCUGAUCAUUUAUUUUUAUGUAUUUUUUUAG